RNAcentral lists this transfer RNA (74 nucleotides) under Nostoc minutum NIES-26. It matches the Rfam family "tRNA". Rfam says of the family: Transfer RNA (tRNA) molecules are approximately 80 nucleotides in length. Lineage: Bacteria; Bacillati; Cyanobacteriota; Cyanophyceae; Nostocales; Nostocaceae. The record is from Rfam by way of RNAcentral.
GCCCCCGUGGACGAACGGUUUAAGUCGCUGUUCUUUCAAAGCAGAGAUUGCGGGUUCAAAUCCCGUCGGAGGAA